RNAcentral lists this long non-coding RNA (397 nucleotides) under Sorghum bicolor (sorghum). RNAcentral's name for it is "long non-coding RNA (SBIC_LNC006310)". Lineage: Eukaryota; Viridiplantae; Streptophyta; Magnoliopsida; Poales; Poaceae. The record is from RNAcentral.
CGUUCGGAAUCGAAAACCGUGCACCGUAGCACCUCAUCCGCUCGACUCCGGCGAGCUUCAGGCGGCCGGCCAUGGUGGCCACCGUGUUCUUCCCCGUAGCUGGCCUGUGCGCCGUCCCCUUCCUCUCUCUCUCUCUUUUUAUUUUUCUUUUAAUCCAGCGCGUUCAUCUGUGAUCCAACGGCCUACAAUGCCCCGUACCCCUUCGAGGGCAUUUUUGUUAAAGAGCCCCCCAGGAAUCCAUUUUCGCGCGCGCAGUCCUCGUCCAGAGGGAUUUUCUAGGAUUUAAUUUAUUUAUUUAAAUUCGUUUAAACUCUGCUUUAUUUAUAGAAUUGCCACCGCAUUAUUUUAGCUAUAAAAUCGUCGUUUGAACUCCGAAUCGAUCCGUUCAAGUUGCGUU